UAAAAAGAAAUGUUCUUAGGGCUGC
This 25-nucleotide non-coding RNA is filed under the name Mus musculus (house mouse). Lineage: Eukaryota; Metazoa; Chordata; Mammalia; Rodentia; Muridae. The record is from RNAcentral.